Molecule: ribosomal RNA, 505 nt
Filed under: uncultured bacterium
Lineage: Bacteria
Description: bacterial SSU rRNA
Rfam family: Bacterial small subunit ribosomal RNA
Source: RNAcentral
AAUAAACGCUGGCGGCGUGCCUAACACAUGCAAGUCGGGCGAGAAAGCUCCUUCGGGAGUUAGUAAAGCGGCGAACGGGUGAGCAACACGUGAGAAUCUACCCUUUAGUGAAGAAUACCCUCGAGAAAUCGAGGCUAAUACUGCAUACGUCCCUUCGGGGAGAAAGAUGGCCUCUUUGCUAUCGCUAAAGGAUGAGCUUGCGUACUAUUAGCUAGUUGGCGGGGUAAAGGCCCACCAAGGCAAUGAUGGUUAACCGGCCUGAGAGGGUGUACGGUCACACUGGAACUUAGACACGGUCCAGACUCCUACGGGAGGCAGCAGUGAGGAAUCUUGCGCAAUGGGCGAAAGCCUGACGCAGCGACGCCGCGUGGAGGAUGACGGUUUUCGGAUUGUAAACUCCUGUUAAGCGGGAAGAAAGCCUUGUUUCUAAUACAAGCAAGGUAUGACGGUACCGCUAGAGAAAGCACCGGCUAACUUCGUGCCAGCAGCCGCGGUAAGGUGCGCG